Molecule: transfer-messenger RNA, 234 nt
Filed under: Zymomonas mobilis subsp. pomaceae ATCC 29192
Lineage: Bacteria; Pseudomonadati; Pseudomonadota; Alphaproteobacteria; Sphingomonadales; Zymomonadaceae
Description: transfer-messenger RNA Zymom_mobil_29192
Rfam family: Alphaproteobacteria transfer-messenger RNA (bases 1-195)
About the family: Bacterial tmRNA, also known as 10Sa RNA or SsrA, is named for its dual tRNA and mRNA-like properties. Its role is to liberate the mRNA from a stalled ribosome.
Source: RNAcentral
GGGGGCGAAACAGGAUCGACGUGUGUAGUAAAGAUCUGAUUGCUAUCCGGCGUGAUUGAGCCGUUAAACCGAUCAUUUUCACAAGUGCCAACGAUAACGAGGUACUCGCUGUUGCUGCGUAAUGAAAACCCUCACGGGUAGACAUUACAAAGUAAAAGCGCGGUUGGGCUGCACCGGGCAACAGAAGCAGAUUCCAGCGGUUUGGGGAGCACCGGGCAACAGAAGCUCCCUAUU